This 426-nucleotide ribosomal RNA is filed under the name uncultured bacterium. Its description in RNAcentral is "bacterial SSU rRNA". It matches the Rfam family "Bacterial small subunit ribosomal RNA", at positions 355 to 799 of the family's 1533-position model. The record is from RNAcentral.
UGGGGAAUAUUGGACAAUGGGCGCAAGCCUGAUCCAGCCAUGCCGCGUGAGUGAUGAAGGUCUUCGGAUUGUAAAACUCUUUCGCCGGGGAAGAUAAUGACGGUACCCGGAGAAGAAGCUCCGGCUAACUUCGUGCCAGCAGCCGCGGUAAUACGAAGGGAGCUAGCGUUGUUCGGAAUUACUGGGCGUAAAGCGCACGUAGGCGGAUUUUAAGUCAGGGGUGAAAUCCCAAGGCUCAACCUUGGAACUGCCUUUGAUACUGGAAGUCUUGAGAUCGGGAGAGGUGAGUGGAAUUCCUAGUGUAGAGGUGAAAUUCGUAGAUAUUAGGAAGAACACCAGUGGCGAAGGCGGCUCACUGGCCCGAUACUGACGCUGAGGUGCGAAAGCGUGGGGAGCAAACAGGAUUAGAUACCCAAGUAGUCCCUG